RNAcentral lists this unclassified non-coding RNA (392 nucleotides) under soil metagenome. Its description in RNAcentral is "partial contains 5.8S ribosomal RNA, internal transcribed spacer 2, and large subunit ribosomal RNA". The stretch from base 1 to 122 matches the Rfam family "5.8S ribosomal RNA", at positions 35 to 154 of the family's 154-position model. The record is from RNAcentral.
GAUGAAGAACGUAGCGAAAUGCGAUACUUGGUGUGAAUUGCAGAAUCCCGUGAACCAUCGAGUCUUUGAACGCAAGUUGCGCCCGAAGCCACUAGGCCGAGGGCACGCCUGCCUGGGCGUCACACGCCGUUGCCCCCCCCAUCUACUCCUUCGGGAUUGCGGGGGGGCGGAUGAUGGCCUCCUGUGCGCCUAGCCGCGCGGUUGGCAUAAAUACCAAGUCCUCGGCGACGCACGCCACGACAAUCGGUGGUUGCGAAACCUCGGUUGCCCGUCGUGUGCGUUCGUCGCGCAUCGAGGGCUCGAAAAAAUGCUCGGCUCCGGCUGGGCUUUCAACGCGACCCCAGGUCAGGCGGGGUUACCCGCUGAAUUUAAGCAUAUCAAUAAGCGGAGGA